GGGGGUAAAUUAAUAAAAAUAAAAUUAAUAAAAAAAUUUUUAAUAUUGGGGGGUAUUAAAGUAUUUUUUAAAGAAAAAAUGAAAAAAUUUAUAGUGAAUUAAUAUUGUAAAAUAAAUUUGAAAUAGUAUUGAAAAUUAAUUAAAAAAAAAGUAAAUUUAGUUUAUUGUAUCUUGUGUAUCAGAGUUUAUUUAAAAAUAUUUAAUAAAUAAUAAAAUCUCGAAUUUAAAAGAGUUAAUUAAUUAUAAAAGUUAAUGUUGAAUAAUUAUUUUAAAUAAUUAAUUAGAAAUGAAAUGUUAAUCGUUUUUAAAUAUAUCUAGUUUUUUUAGAAAAAAAUUUAAUUUUAAAUUUGGAAAAUCUUAUAUUUAAUUAAUUAAAUAUAAGAUUUCAAAAUUAAAUAUUUUAAGGGAUAAGCUUUAAUUUAAAUAUUUAUAAUAAAAAUAAUAUUAAUAAAAUUUUUAAAAUUUAUAUUGUUUAAAAAUUAUAAUUUAUUAAAAAAAAUUUUAUAAUAAAUAAAAUUUAAUUUAUAUAUUUAAUUUUUUAUAAAAAAUUAUUUUUUAAUUAUUAAGGAAUAGAAAUAAUGAUAAAAUUAGUAUAUCAUUAAAAAAAAUAUAAAUAUAAAUUAAAAUUAAUUUAAAGGAAUUCGGCAAAAAUUUAUAUUCACUUGUUUAUCAAAAACAUGUCUUUUAGAAAAUAAUUUAAAGUCUAAUCUGCCCACUGAUUGAUAAAAAUUAAAGGGCUGCAGUAUAUUGACUGUACAAAGGUAGCAUAAUCAUUAGUCUUUUAAUUGGAGACUUGUAUGAAAGAUUUGAUGAAAUAUAAACUGUCUCUAAAUUAUUAGUAAAAAUUAAUUUUUUAGUUAAAAAGCUAAAAUUUAUUUAAAAGACGAGAAGACCCUAUAGAGUUUUAUAAUAAUAAUAAUUAAAAUUAAAUAUAUAAAUAUAAAUUGAAAUUAUUAUUAUUAUUUUGUUGGGGUGACAAAAAAAUUAAUAAAACUUUUUUUAUAUAUUUCAUAAAUAAGUGAAUUAGUGAUCCAUUUGUAAUGAUUAAAAGAAAAAAUUACCUUAGGGAUAACAGCGUAAUUUUUUUUUUUAGUACAAAUAAAAAAAAAAGGUUGCGACCUCGAUGUUGGAUUAAGAUAAAAAUUAAAUGCAAAAGUUUAAAAUUUUGAUCUGUUCGAUCAUUAAAAUCUUACAUGAUCUGAGUUCAAACCGGUGUGAGCCAGGUUGGUUUCUAUCUUUAAAAAAUUAAAAUAUUUUAGUACGAAAGGAUCAAAUAUUUUAAAUAAUUUUAAAAAAAAAUGAAUAUUAAUAAAUUUAUUAUUU
This 1323-nucleotide ribosomal RNA is filed under the name Argynnis childreni (large silverstripe). RNAcentral describes it as "16S ribosomal RNA". The record is from RNAcentral. Lineage: Eukaryota; Metazoa; Arthropoda; Insecta; Lepidoptera; Nymphalidae.